CCUACGGGUGGCUGCAGUGGGGAAUAUUGGACAAUGGGGGGAACCCUGAUCCAGCCAUGCCGCGUGUGUGAAGAAGGCCCUCGGGUUGUAAAGCACUUUCAGUGAGGAAGAACGCCUGGUGGUUAAUACCCAUCAGGAAAGACAUCACUCACAGAAGAAGCACCGGCUAACUCCGUGCCAGCAGCCGCGGUAAUACGGAGGGUGCGAGCGUUAAUCGGAAUUACUGGGCGUAAAGCGCGCGUAGGUGGCUUGAUAAGCCGGUUGUGAAAGCCCCGGGCUCAACCUGGGAACGGCAUCCGGAACUGUCAAGCUAGAGUGCAGGAGAGGAAGGUAGAAUUCCCGGUGUAGCGGUGAAAUGCGUAGAGAUCGGGAGGAAUACCAGUGGCGAAGGUGGCCUUCUGGACUGACACUGACACUGAGGUGCGAAAGCGUGGGUAGCAAACAGGAUUAGAUACCCUAGUAGUC
RNAcentral lists this ribosomal RNA (465 nucleotides) under Vreelandella stevensii. RNAcentral describes it as "partial 16S ribosomal RNA". It matches the Rfam family "Bacterial small subunit ribosomal RNA", at positions 338 to 795 of the family's 1533-position model. Lineage: Bacteria; Pseudomonadati; Pseudomonadota; Gammaproteobacteria; Oceanospirillales; Halomonadaceae. The record is from RNAcentral.